CUUUACCUGCGCGGUGCUCGCUUCAAAAUAUGUCACACAAAUCGAAAUUCAAUCAGGUACAAACAUUGGUGGAGUAAGCAAGGUGGGAGAAUCUGGAUAAUGUAAAUCUUGCAUGCAUGCAUCUGUUUUUUUGUAUGCAUUUUAAUUUAAGAGCAGAAAAUGUGUACUGUAUGUGUUAUGCUGAGAUCGAAUGAAAUUAACCUUUUAAGUUUUGUUAUUGGAUUUUAAAAAGGGUUGACACAUGGCUCAAGAGGAAAAUGAAGAAGAUUUUCCUGGACGCCUAUUACACCAGGCUGCUUUGUGGGGAAAUGCGGAAUUGCUGGAAGAUCUUCUUCAUGGUGAAAUGGAUUGUAAAGAUCUCAUUAAGUAGAAGAAAUCUUUACUGAAGUUUCAGAGGUAAUUUUUAUGUAUGAAGAAAAGUAACAACAUGUAAAGAGAGAGAAUGCCAAAAUUCUGCUUAAUGCAAGAAGACUAAAUAUUACAAAGUCAUUCACAUAAAACUCACAAAACCAUUCACUCUAGCUUAAAAUCACUGAAUAAUAAAUUUAAGGUCAUAUCUCUCUGAAGUGGACUAUGUUUCAGCUAACCUGGCCUUCUCACAAUGCCCUAUUCAUAUCAUUGCAUGCUAUUGGUUCAUACAGAACUCCUUAGCAACUAGAGUAGAGGAACAAGAAGGUGUUUUAUUGAGCAUUUUUAUUUCAGUAAAGUAUUUGUUAAAAUUUAUUAAAGUAAAUAACAGUACAUGAAGUAAGAUAAACAGUUAUAAAUAGCCUGAGAAAAAUUCAUUUAUAGGACAAAGUCAUAAUCACUGUGCAGGAACUCCACAAAUUUCACAUGAUUUUGAACUGAAUAAGUAAAAUGACUGCUCCUCAGAAUGUGCCCUAUUUAUAAGAUUUCCCGAGGGGAAGGGAAAGCUUUGAGAAAAAUUGCUUUGAAAGGAUCAAAAAUGCAUUUUACAAAAACUUCCAGAAUGUCACUAAUGUGGCGAGAAAUCACCUAUUAUCACCCAUUCAAAGACAAUAAUUGACAUUAGUGUGUGGCCCCUGACCAUAUCUGUGAUUUUAAUUAAGCUAUCUUUACAGUUCAAACAUUUAUUUAAUUUGGAAUUGAAAUAUUUACAACUUAUUGCAUGAAAUAAACACUUACAAACAAAAGAAGUAGUCAUGAAUUCUUUUAAACGAAAAUACACAAAAUUAUUACAUAAAAUGCAUUAAAUAAACAAGCAAACAAAUAAAAUUAUUGCAUAACACUAUAAAAAAUACAUGAAACCCAAAUUGCAAACAAACACACAAAUUACAAAAUUUCAAUUUUAUCAUUACCAAUUACCAAAAGAUAGCAGGCCGCACUACAAAUUCUACAUAAUUAGUCCUAUUGUCUCAAAAAUAUGUUUUCUGGAAGUUUUCAGAACGUCAUCAAAUUGGUGAACAGUCGUCAGUUUGGUAACAAGUAAUUAUUGCUAGAGCUUUAUAGUGUAGGAUUCUUCAAAGUUGUUCAAAUACAGUUGUUUGUAUAAUUUACAAUGGUAUAAAAGUUGUGAAAAAAAUGAAAUUUUAUGAAAAUUAUUUUUUAUAUAUUUAUUGAUUUUGUUGUAAUGAAGUAAAAAAUAAUCCUUUAAAGAAAUUUGUAAAUUAUUCUCUCCUAGUCUAGUGUGUAAGUUGUGUAAUUUUUGGCAAGCUAAAGCACAUUAAUCAUUACUAUUAUACACAUUAAUCUAUUGUUUUCUAUAGAGUUGAAAACUAUUAGAAAGUGUUUCAGUAAAUUAGUUUAUUAAAUUUUUAUGGUACUUUUAUAUUAUUACGCAACCCUGGUAAUUUAAAUGGCAUCAAUAUAAUCGAUAAAUCGCCAGUGAAUGUUGCAAACUGUCAAAUAGGCAGAAGUUUUUAGAUCUUUCUUAUUUUUUGGCAAAUUGAAAAUUGUGAAACUAAAAAAAAAAAGACAGAAAAUGGUAUAGAAAUAAAAUAACACCUUUAUUCAGAGCUCUUUUCAUAACAAACUGAUGUGUAACGUCGAUGCGAGCCAGUUUUUUUUUAGAAAGUCUUCCAGAAAAGCUUCCCUCACUUUAGAUAGACCAAAUUAAAAUCAUGACAGAUGAACUAUAAGUGACUGUAGUUAGGACUGCCAGCAGUUUAUUGAUUAUUUUGUUGGCAUUUAAAUUACGGGAAUUGUAAUAAUGAGAAAGUAUCAAUUUUUCCAAUAACAUAGAUUUUUGGAUAUUAAUAGGGUGCUAGUUGUCAAAUAUGCUCUGAAGCAAAAAAAUGUGGUAGCCCAUUUAUAUCGCAUCUUGAAGAGCCAUGCAAUUUUUGAUAUGUGCAAUGCUAAAUUUGUGUAAUCAUUAUGCACAUUAAACAUCGUAUAUAUGUUAUAUUAAAUGAUACAUUACUGUUAUUACAAGUUCUUUUUUUCAUGAAAGUUUUACGUAUCAUUAGGGUUGGUGCCAUUUAGUUAGAUUUCUCACCUCUCCGUUGCACCUCAUUAAGCAGAAAAGUUCAGAUUAAAAAAAAUAUUAUGUUCUUAUUGAUAUCCUUCUCCUCCCCCAUACUCUCCAUGCUUGGAAGCUGUAUUGAAAUUAUUUAUUCAUAAGAAUAUAGUUUCUUCGUCUGGCUCCUAGUGACACUGGCUUGUUUUGAAUAACUCAUAAAAUUGACGUUGUAAAAUAAUGGCAGUAUAUAUUUAUAUUAUAUUUUUGGAAUUAUCUGUAAGUUCAUAUGUUAUGCUUUGUAUUAGCACUGAUAAAAAACAUAUUCAAGCAUGGCACUUAAAAGUUUUCAGAAUAAAUCUAAGGAUACUAUCACAUUAUUCCCGUAACUGUGACAAAAAUCACCAGGCAAGUGCUGUACCAUCGAAUAGCACUUACCCGAUGAUAUAGGCAAAUCAGAAUUUUAUGAAAAUGUAUUUUAUCUCUCAUUGCACUCAAUAAUUGCAGUCAGGGAAUUCUGAGGGUUAUCUUUGCGGUUUUUGCUUGUGACAAGUGGGUGUAUUUCCUCCCUUUAAUUAAUCAUAAUGUGGGAAUUCUAAGCAGGUGCUGUUUUUAAAUAUUUUGUGAUUUUGCUCUUGAAUUUAAGGUGGCUUAAGUGCAAAGAAAGUGAUGAUUAAUAAUUAAACUAAAAUGACCCUCCUCCAAAAAACGUGUUAGCAGGAAUGGGUCAAAGAGUAGAUUGUUAACCUGCAAUGCUAAGUAAGAGCAUAAAUACAACACAAGAGGAUUUGUUAAAUCCUAAUGUCAUGAGACAUCCUAAUGACAUGAAAGUCUGAAUGCAUAAGAUAUUCUUUAAAAUUAAGAUCUAAUGAUGUAGCUUAUACUUGGCUUAAAAUGUAUGCUCGGUGUCAGAGCUGUUUAAUUUUUUUUUGUAUUGCAAUAAACUUU
This 3364-nucleotide long non-coding RNA is filed under the name Stegodyphus dumicola. Its description in RNAcentral is "uncharacterized LOC118179674". Lineage: Eukaryota; Metazoa; Arthropoda; Arachnida; Araneae; Eresidae. The record is from RNAcentral.